Molecule: long non-coding RNA, 2824 nt
Organism: Passer domesticus (house sparrow)
Lineage: Eukaryota; Metazoa; Chordata; Aves; Passeriformes; Passeridae
Exons: 2
Source: RefSeq, a predicted model, not a curated record
AGUAAUGAAGGUAAUUUCACCCCUAAGGAGUUACAGCUGCACUAAUUAUCAAGAAUUAGGAACAGGCCUGCCCUUAAUAGGCCACAGCUAGAUCCAAUUAGGAUGGGUAUUGUAAAAGAGUAGGUUGGCUGGUCGAGAAGUUAGAUGGAGUUUGUUAGCUGUGCUGGGAGGAAAAUGGAGUUAGUAGUGUGAGGAGCUACCCAUAAGAAAUCACCGACAAGCCACUAGUGCUCUGUAGAGGAGAUUGUCGCCUGCUAGGAAAGAAGCAGAAGGAAGCAGCAAAGCAAGGAGUCCCCAAGUCUGCAGAGCAUCACAGGUCACCUACAACACUGUCUCUGUUUCAUGGGAUAUACUGGAGAUCUCUGAAAUCAGGACAACUGUGGAGUCAGGCCAGCACCAAACCUGAGCUGUGAUCAGCAGAUUUAAACACAAUUUUAUUACUAAAAAUAAGAUCAAAAUUAUCACAAAUUGCAGAUUGCAAAUGUAAUAUUCCAAAACAUGCUUCAAAUCUGGAAGCACUCCAGAACCAAAAAAGUGAUGUUUUUGAAAAUUUAUACUGGAGUAUAAUCUACGCACUCUGUAGCGUCAACUCACAAUUCCAGUACUGUUACUGUGAAGUCAGACUUUAUUUCCAGACCCAAUGAGCAGCACACAUUUUUUACUAUACUAUCUAACCCUACAAAUCAGAGCAAAUGUGCAAAAAAGCACCUUCCCCAAAAUCUAACAACUAUUAAUUGCAAGUAACAAUUAAAGGAGCAGACAAUUUUGCCUCUCAAAUGGAAUAUAGAACAGUGUGUCCAAAUUAGUGGGAUAUAUUUUGUGCGAUAUAAGUGAAUGUACAGGGUACAGCUUAAUUCAGCAUUGUAGAGGUUUCAAGAAUUCCUACAAUUUUGCUGUGUUUUUAAACUGCAACAAUAUGACAAUCAAAGCACAAUGGGAAUGAGAACCCUUCUUAUCGAGUCAGUCAGAGCAACAACAUGAGCCACUCUCUUGGUUCUUCUUAAAUAUUAACCACCUGAAUUAUCCAGUACAAAAGACCUCUUUAUUGGAAAACACAUGAGAAAAAGCAGAUAUUUCUCUGCUUUUGCAUGUCACGCUCUCCAGAGCUGCUGUGGAGCCAGAGGAUUCCCAGCAGGGAAGGAGUUGCACUUCAAGUUACCUUUCAAGCUUCUGAGAGCUGAUCUUGGGCUUCAACAUGCUCAUUCUGGGAAUAAAAAUUAUGAUAUUUUCUGUUAUCUCACUCCAAAGAAAGAUAACUUGGAUUUUCCCUUACUAUUGUGUGAGUGUAAUUGGAAAGGAUAGCUCUAAAAAAUAUCCUAGCUCUAGAAAAUAGCCUCUGUCAUUAACAUUAAGAAUAUUUAGCUGUCUAGCAUCUAGGAGUUUAUGGCACUGUAAAUUGUUUAUACUUUUCCAUACCACUGUAAAAUAAAAAAAAUGUAGCAGUUGUAUUCAUUUUGGUAGAAGCACAUGCUUUCAUAAAUUACCAGGCUUGAAAAAUUAAGCUGCUACGUUCAAGGCCAAAGUUUUAAAGAGAUGUCAAUCCGUUUUUCAUUAAUGUCAUUACAGUUAUUGGGAGGUGGUGGGAAGGUUUGCCCAUGAUUUCGUCUCUACUGGGAUAAGCCACAGACUGUAUGUAAGCCAUGCCGUCAGUAUGUGCCAGUUGGAUAUGAGGUGCACCAUCUGUAGAUGCAAAUGACAAUUAGAAAAAGACGUAUUCAAACGACUGUGCAUGCAAAGAGGCAAUACUGGAGAAAUUGGACCAAGAUUUCUGUAUUUCUUAUAGAGGUAAAAAUGUGUUGCGUGCCAUACUCCUUUAAGAGCUGUGAGGAAAUAAAAUUUCUGAAUGUAAGGCAAAUUCUCUUUUUUCAUUGUUAAGAUUUAAUACAUUUUGAGGUUGGAGAAGGCAGCAUAUCUCCCAACAAAGUGGCUAGUACAGAAUGUAAAAAAAAAUAAUUUAAAUAAUGAAAAAAUGCAUUUCCCUCCUUCUACAUGCAAACUGUCUCAUAUUCCAAUUUAUUUCAGUAUAAAUUUAUUCUUGCAUAUGCUAAUACAUGGAAUCAGGAAAAAAUAUUUAAAUGCAUUAGAAAGCAUAUGGAAACAUACAGAUUAUAAGCUCUUUAAUAAAAUCUAUCUUAAUGAUAAAGGCACCACUUAGCAUGCACUCUGGAACUGUGCUCCUUCAUUUAUUUAUGAGUUCCUGUAGACAAAGAAAGUAUCUUCCAAAAAUAGGAAUACCAUAUUUUCAAGGCAUACUGUGUAUUUUAUUUUUGAAACUAGUAAAUGUCAGACAGUAUUCAUACACAGUAUUGACACAUUAAUGUUUUCAUUCAACAGUGAAGAUACCUUUCCUUGUUACAUUAUAUAUUUAUGACACACUGAGCUGUCAAAUAAAUUAUGUCAAAGCAGCUACAGCCAGACCUUGUGACACUUGAAUCAUAGAAUCAGGGCAAAUAACCUUUAAAAUGAAAGACAUAUGACAAGAAUUAGAAACAUUUAAUUUGCAUAAAUAUAAUGUUAACAGUCUUUUCCUUAUUACAUAUUUUAUGCCUAAUUUUUCAUUGCCAUUAUACUCAUUCUUUAACAUCAGUUUGCUCUCUCUUUUUUUCCUCAUUGCUUGCUUUGUUUUGGAAUAUGUGAAACAAAUUCUAUAAGAGCAUAUGAUCAGAUCACCAUUUGAAUAUACUCUGGUUAGCAAAUCUUAAAUGUUGCGAAAGACUCUUUACUCAUGUUAUAUACUAUUUAAAAUGUAGAAAAAGUUCCUAAAGAUAACUAAAAAUUCCUAAACAUGUCAAGUAAAUAUGUAAUCUCUGAUAACUUUGGACCA